GACGAACGCUGGCGGCGUGCUUAACACAUGCAAGUCGAACGCUGAAGCGUGGUGCUUGCACGGGGGGGAUGAGGGGCGAACGGGUGAGGAAUACGUGAGUAACCUGCCCUUGACUCUGGGAUAAGCCUGGGAAACUGGGUCUAAUACUGGAUACGACAUGUCACCGCAUGGUGGUGUGGGGAAAGGGAUUUACUGGUUCUGGAUGGGCUGACGGCCUAUCAGCUUGUUGGUGGGGUAAUGGCUCACCAAGGCGACGACGGGUAGCCGGCCUGAGAGGGUGACCGGCCACACUGGGACUGAGACACGGCCCAGACUCCUACGGGAGGCAGCAGUGGGGAAUAUUGCACUAUGGGCGGAAGCCUGAUGCAGCGACGCCGCGUGGGGGAUGACGGCCUUCGGGUUGUAAACCUCUUUCAGCUCGGAAGAAGCGAAAGUGACGGUACGUGCAGAAGAAGCGCCGGCUAACUACGUG
Molecule: ribosomal RNA, 472 nt
Filed under: uncultured bacterium
Lineage: Bacteria
Description: partial 16S ribosomal RNA
Rfam family: Bacterial small subunit ribosomal RNA
Source: RNAcentral